Nomascus leucogenys (northern white-cheeked gibbon) is the source of this 488-nucleotide long non-coding RNA. RefSeq lists it as uncharacterized. The record is from RefSeq and is a predicted model, not a curated record. Lineage: Eukaryota; Metazoa; Chordata; Mammalia; Primates; Hylobatidae. The transcript is spliced from 3 exons.
AUAAAUAACAAUAAAAACAGGGUGACUUAGGCUUUUGAAGUCUUUAAAGAAACCAUCACUAUGAUCUUUACUACUGCUGCGGAGAAGAGGACAACUCUCCACAUUUCUGGCAUUGAAAAUGACAACACCGCAACUGAAAGAAAGCUUGAAUUUCUGGGAGUAGCAUUAGGAUACGGGACUCCUGCUGAGCUCACCAGUUCCUUGCUCUACACAGCUGCUUUCUCAGCUGGGGUUUUGAAAUAAGCACUGUGAAAAAAGACAGAAAUGACCAUGAUGCAUCUUCUUCACUCUGAGAAAAAGUGCCAAUUUUUAGAAUGGAGGGUGUAGAUCCAUCCUUUGCAACUUGGUGAGGACCUCCUCAGUAAGGCACUGAGCCAGGAGUCUAUACAGCCAUGCCAACAGCCUAGUCCAAAGAUGUUUAGAUCCCAGAAGGGAACUUGCUGGCUUUUCACCUCAGCAUGUGUGGGCCAAACUAAUAUCACAACAAG